UGAACAUUACACACUGGCUGACAGACAUAAGAACUAUCACUCCUUACGGUUAUUUACUCUAGCAUGUUAUUUAUACACGGAUGUAACUUCUCACAUUACAGGGAACCUUUACUCUAUCCACAGGUGGAAAGGCGCCAGGAUGGUUGUGACUAAGCUGCACUAUUGUCUUAAUUCCUUCGUCACUAUUUGCGCGCCAUGUGGUUCAGAGCAGCGUUGAAAGGGUAUAUAUAGAUGGUAGCAAUUUACUGGAACAAACGCAAUUUUAAACUGAAGCUGAAACAAGUAGCGGGGGUAAUUCUGAUUUUAGCAGCAUGACCUCAGACCACUCAACCUGCUUUGGGUAUUGUACUAUGCUGUAAUACAAUUCUCUAUCACGUGACAUAAUGUAAUAGGAUGAUACUAUUAUUUAGAAAUGUGUUCAAGCCAGCCUGUGACUCAUAGUUGGAUUAGCUAUUUAGCUACAGAAGCUAAGUUAAUAUCGUUAUAUUAUGAUGGGUUCAGAGAUGUUUGAAAGCGAGACCGAGAAAAGGGGGGAUUUGGCUGUUUUAACUGUACUAUGUAUAUGGGGCAUCAUACCCCUGUCUCAGAUGAUAUAAGCACUUGUCACACGUGAGACCCCUGUGCUGAGUUGAUGAAUUCCGACAUGAGUGAUAAUCUAACACCGCAUUCAGAUUUAGUCAUGGUGACUUGCAACUCACUCCCGGUCAUCUGGGUCAUUCUCCGAGUCCUAUAGAGAUGGUUUGACCUCCUCUAGCGCUAGAUACCAUGUUGCUACCUCAUAUACAAUUCCAUUAAUUCAUAAUGUGUUUGUCUGCCUGCCUGUCUGAACCAUACGUUUCUACGUGACCCUGUCGUCUGGGCACCUGGAAGAGCGCUCCCGGACAGGUCAGAAUGCUAUUAAAAGUAGGUGGAGUGUCACCCAUGCCUGUCCCAGGCCGAGCUGCUGAGUCACUGCAGGUGGCAGGUACAGAGAGGGGUGGUCUGCAUCCCCAAGAGCGUUACUCCUUCCAGGAUCCUGCAGAAUCUGCAGGUCAGGAGGACAGCGCCAUCUAGUGGAAGGAAUACCAAUUGAACUGCAUGAUGUUUUACCAGUUUGGAAACUACUCACCUCUUCCCCAAAAUGUGUUUGACUUCUGUCGGAUGAAGACCUGGAGCAGAUCGAGUCGUUCAACAGAAACGAGAGGUACAUCAUCCUGGCUGUGGAGAGGGACAGAGAGUGGAGGGACGCAGACCACCCUCAUUUCCCGACCUGAUCUAGAGUCAGCUCUACUGGCCCCACAUCUAGAGACAGCUCUUUAGCACUUUGAGAUAUCAGCUGAUCUAAGGGCUAUAUAAAUACAUUUGAUUUGCUGACCCACACAUAAAAUUUUAUUUAUACAGAUUACCUGGAUCUGAGUCACUAGAGAUUUGAAUAUUUGAUCAGACAAGAACCAUCUGUAAUGCAGCUCAUGUUCCCUUAGUAAGAAUCCACAUACAUCUUAAUUCAUUAUUAGUGGGAAAAUAUAUUUGUUUCUAAUCCUUAAUUUUGUUAUACUCCAACUGAUCCAGUGUUCCGAUGUGUGGAUAUCUAAUCUGUGAGAUUGUUGGACAAUAAAUGAUAGA
Molecule: long non-coding RNA, 1602 nt
Organism: Salvelinus namaycush (lake trout)
Lineage: Eukaryota; Metazoa; Chordata; Actinopteri; Salmoniformes; Salmonidae
Exons: 5
Source: RefSeq, a predicted model, not a curated record